Molecule: regulatory RNA element, 109 nt
Organism: Actinophytocola xinjiangensis
Lineage: Bacteria; Bacillati; Actinomycetota; Actinomycetes; Pseudonocardiales; Pseudonocardiaceae
Rfam family: mraW RNA
Source: Rfam
GGACGCGGGUGCCGUGAGGCCUCGGUCCGCUCGCUUUCGGCCCUGGCGCACCUUCCCCGGUGCCAGGUCCGACGAGCGGGCGGGGACCUGGCGGCACCCCCGCCUCGUC